UACGUAGGGGGCGAGCGUUGUCCGGAAUUACUGGGCGUAAAGGACGCGCAGGCGGCCGAUCAAGUCAGAUGUGAAACCCCCGGGCUUAACCUGGGAACUGCAUUUGAAACUGGUUGGCUUGAGUGCAGGAGAGGAAAGCGGAAUUCCUAGUGUAGCGGUGAAAUGCGUAGAUAUUAGGAAGAACACCAGUGGCGAAGGCGGCUUUCUGGACUGCAACUGACGCUGAGGCGUGAAAGCGUGGGGAGCGAACAGGAUUAGAUACCCUGGUAGUCCACGCCGUAAACGAUGGAUGCUAGGUGUGGGGGGUAUCGACCCCUUCCGUGCCGCAGCAAACGCAAUAAGCAUCCCGCCUGAGGAGUACGGCCGCAAGGUUGAA
RNAcentral lists this ribosomal RNA (376 nucleotides) under uncultured bacterium. RNAcentral describes it as "bacterial SSU rRNA". It matches the Rfam family "Bacterial small subunit ribosomal RNA", at positions 524 to 898 of the family's 1533-position model. The record is from RNAcentral.